This 64-nucleotide transfer RNA is filed under the name Orectochilus villosus. Its description in RNAcentral is "tRNA-Leu". The record is from RNAcentral. Lineage: Eukaryota; Metazoa; Arthropoda; Insecta; Coleoptera; Gyrinidae.
UCUAAUGUGGCAGAAUAGUGCAAUGAAUUUAAGCUUCAUAUAUAAAGAAACUCUUUUAUUAGAA